RNAcentral lists this ribosomal RNA (435 nucleotides) under uncultured bacterium. Its description in RNAcentral is "partial 16S ribosomal RNA". It matches the Rfam family "Bacterial small subunit ribosomal RNA", at positions 29 to 507 of the family's 1533-position model. The record is from RNAcentral.
AACGAACGCUGGCGGCAGGCUUAACACAUGCAAGUCGAACGCAUGCCUUCGGGCAUGAGUGGCAGACGGGUGAGUAACGCGUGGGAACCUACCCCUUGGUACGGGAUAGCUCCGGGAAACUGGAGAUAAUACCGUAUGUGUCCUGAGGGACAAAGAUUCAUCGCCAAGGGAUGGGCCCGCGUCGGAUUAGCUAAUUGGUGGGGUAACGGCCUACCAAGGCGACGAUCCGUAGCUGGUCUAAGAGGAUGAUCAGCCACAUUGGGACUGAGACACGGCCCAAACUCCUACGGGAGGCAGCAGUGGGGAAUAUUGGACAAUGGGCGCAAGCCUGAUCCAGCCAUGCCGCGUGAGUGAUGAAGGCCCUAGGGUUGUAAAGCUCUUUCACCGGUGACGAUAAUGACGGUAACCGGAGAAGAAGCCCCGGCUAACUUCGUG